GAUGUGACUCUGUACCUAUGUAUCUUGUCAUACUUUGAAUGACAAAAUUAUUUUAUUUAUUAAUAUUACUUUUACUGUUAUGUCUGUUUUAUGUGAUAUACAUUUGACGUGACUCUGUACUUAUGUAUCUCAUCAUACUUUGAACCACACUAUUAUUUUAUUUAUUAUUAUUACUUUUACUGUUAAAUCUGUUUUUGUUAUAUCUAUUUUACGUGACUGAAUUUAUG
Molecule: long non-coding RNA, 227 nt
Filed under: Mytilus galloprovincialis (Mediterranean mussel)
Lineage: Eukaryota; Metazoa; Mollusca; Bivalvia; Mytilida; Mytilidae
Source: RNAcentral